CCUACGGGUGGCAGCAGUGAGGAAUAUUGGUCAAUGGGCGUAAGCCUGAACCAGCCAAGUCGCGUGAGGGAGGAAGGUUCUAUGGAUCGUAAACCUCUUUUAUAAGGGAAUAAAGUGUGGGACGUGUCCCAUUUUGUAUGUACCUUAUGAAUAAGCAUCGGCUAACUCCGUGCCAGCAGCCGCGGUAAUACGGAGGAUCCGAGCUUUAUCCGGAUUUAUUGGGUUUAAAGGGUGCGCAGGCGGCCUUUUAAGUCAGUGGUGAAAGUCCGGGGCUCAACCAUAGAAUUGCCGUUGAAACUGGGGGGCUUGAGUUUGUUAGAGGCAGGCGGAAUGCGUGGUGUAGCGGUGAAAUGCUUAGAUAUCACGCAGAACCCCGAUUGCGAAGGCAGCCUGCCGAGCCAAGACUGACGCUGAUGCACGAAAGCGUGGGGAUCAAACAGGAUUAGAUACCCUUGUAGUC
Molecule: ribosomal RNA, 460 nt
Filed under: uncultured bacterium
Lineage: Bacteria
Description: partial 16S ribosomal RNA
Rfam family: Bacterial small subunit ribosomal RNA
Source: RNAcentral